UACGUAGGUGGCAAGCGUUAUCCGGAAUUAUUGGGCGUAAAGCGCGCGCAGGUGGUUUCUUAAGUCUGAUGUGAAAGCCCACGGCUCAACCGUGGAGGGUCAUUGGAAACUGGGAGACUUGAGUGCAGAAGAGGAAAGUGGAAUUCCAUGUGUAGCGGUGAAAUGCGUAGAGAUAUGGAGGAACACCAGUGGCGAAGGCGACUUUCUGGUCUGUAACUGACACUGAGGAGCGAAAGCGUGGGGAGCGAACAGG
RNAcentral lists this ribosomal RNA (253 nucleotides) under uncultured bacterium. RNAcentral's name for it is "partial 16S ribosomal RNA". It matches the Rfam family "Bacterial small subunit ribosomal RNA", at positions 524 to 776 of the family's 1533-position model. The record is from RNAcentral.